This 29-nucleotide non-coding RNA is filed under the name Homo sapiens (human). Lineage: Eukaryota; Metazoa; Chordata; Mammalia; Primates; Hominidae. The record is from RNAcentral.
UUAGAGUGGGUGCCCAAGGGAUAAAUGGU